This 253-nucleotide ribosomal RNA is filed under the name uncultured bacterium. RNAcentral's name for it is "partial 16S ribosomal RNA". It matches the Rfam family "Bacterial small subunit ribosomal RNA", at positions 524 to 776 of the family's 1533-position model. The record is from RNAcentral.
UACGUAGGGGGCUAGCGUUGUCCGGAAUCAUUGGGCGUAAAGCGCGCGUAGGCGGCCCGGUAAGUCUGCUGUAAAAGUCAAAGGCUCAACCUUUGAAUGUCAGUGGAUACUGCCGGGCUAGAGUCCGGAAGAGGCGAGUGGAACUCCUGGUGUAGCGGUGGAAUGCGCAGAUAUCAGGAAGAACACCGACGGCGAAGGCAGCUCGCUGGGACGGUACUGACGCUGAGGCGCGAAAGCGUGGGGAGCGAACAGG